Molecule: RNA transcript, 2969 nt
Organism: Canis lupus familiaris (dog)
Lineage: Eukaryota; Metazoa; Chordata; Mammalia; Carnivora; Canidae
Gene: DPH6
Gene name: diphthamine biosynthesis 6
Exons: 15
Source: RefSeq, a predicted model, not a curated record
GAGUGAAGUUCAAAUAGGCGAAGUUGUGGAAGACAUAUUAAGGAAAUAUCAGAGUCUGAGGAAAGGGAGCAUGAUGUAUAACUUCACUAUGCCUCUUGCGGUCUCCCCACGAGAAGUUCUGGAAUGACAGUUUCUGAUUGGAAUGUAGUAGAGGCAGAUAAAUGUCCGGAACUAAAGUAAAAGGCAAAAAGGGCCAGCUUCUGGCCCUUUCAGAAGAGACAAGCAGUGUCUUCUGAAAAGUUUCUUAGGCUGUGAAUAUGUCUGACCGUUGCCUGGAGUGGUGGGAAGGAUAGCUGUUAUAAUAUGAUGCAAUGCGUUGUUGCUGGGCAUCAAAUUGUUGCUUUAGCAAAUCUGAGACCAGCUGAAAACCAGGUGAACAUCUUUAUGAAUACUACUUUGGACUCUUUAUCAGUGGGGUCAGAUGAACUGGAUAGCUACAUGUAUCAGACAGUGGGUCAUCAUGCCAUUGAUUUGUAUGCAGAAGCGAUGGCUCUUCCCCUCUAUCGCCACACCAUAAGAGGAAGGAGUGUGGAUACAGGAAGAGUGUACACAAAAUGUGAAGGUGAUGAGGUUGAAGAUCUCUAUGAGCUUUUGAAACUUGUUAAGGAAAAAGAAGAAGUAGAAGGGAUAUCAGUAGGUGCUAUACUCUCUGACUAUCAGCGUGUUCGAGUAGAAAAUGUGUGUAAAAGGCUUAAUCUCCAGCCUUUAGCUUACCUUUGGCAAAGAAACCAGGAAGAUUUGCUCCGAGAGAUGAUAUCAUCUAACAUUCAAGCAAUCAUCAUCAAAGUAGCAGCUUUGGGUUUAGAUCCAGAUAAGCAUCUUGGAAAAACUCUGGAUCAAAUGGAACCUUAUCUCUUAGAGCUUUCUAAGAAGUAUGGAGUCCAUGUUUGUGGAGAAGGUGGAGAGUAUGAAACAUUCACUUUGGAUUGCCCUCUAUUUAAGAAGAAAAUAAUUGUUGAUUCAUCAGAAGUGGUCAUACAUUCAGCUGACGCAUUUGCACCUGUUGCUUAUCUACGCUUUUUGGAAUUGCACUUGGAGGACAAGGGAUGCAAGGCUGAUUUAACAACAAAAUCAGUCAAUGAAUUCACCAAAGACAAAAGCAUAUGACCAUUGCAAAAGAUGCAGUAAACAUCAUCCUUCAUUGUGAACUGAUGAAAUCUUUUCAUUUGAGUUUAAAGACACAGUAAGGAUGCCUGAAAUCAUCACUUCUAUUCAACCAGUGGAUAAGCAUUUGGCAUCCUCAGACAAGCUGUUUAUAGGUAAUUGCUCAUGUGAGGUGAACUGUAAUGAGAACAACAUCCCCACUCUAGCAGAGGAAGAAGACCAAAGUGAAACUCCACCUCCCACUGGAAAUCAUUGACUCACCCUCUACCAAAUUGGAUUCACCUCGCAAAGAAAUUACAGCCAAGUUCACUCUCUUCUUGGACAACCUGACCUAAGACAGGAAUUUAGAAUUGAAUGUUCAGCUACUAUUAAAUCUAGGGGAAUAGAAUUGAAAGAUAAUCAUUUUGACCCAUCUAUCUGAAAAGCAUGAAAAAUUUCUCAGGUGUUAACUCAGCUUAUGUGACUACAUUCAAGCUCUGCCUGCCUGCAAGCAUUAGGGCUCUUUCCACUCCCCAUUGAGAGAAUCGCCACUAUCCCACUAUCUUAAGACAAGCCUGAAGAAGUAGGAUCAUGGAGCUCCAAGGAAGACUUCCUCAAGAUUACUUCAAACUUACAGAAACUGACGGGAAUAAGAAUAAUCAUGGAAUAUUCCUGUAUCUUCUACCCAGAUUUACCUGUUGUUGACAUUUUGCCCUAUUUCCUUUAUCAGAUGAGUAUGCUCACUUGCUCUUUCUCCCUCUAUUUGCAUAGGUGUAUGUGUGUGCAUACAAAACAUAUUUAUUAUGUAUUUAUAUAUGUGUGUAGGUGUGUGCACACGUGUUGUUUUGAGCCUUUAAAAGUUAGUCGCAUGACCUUUUACACCCUUCAGUGUAUAUUUUUUUCUAAGAAUAAGAAUACUGUCUUGCAAACAAGUAAAUUUUAAAUUGAUAUGUUUUUCUGAUCUUCCAUCUGCAUUCUGCCUUGCAUGGGCUUUGACUGAUAAAAGACUUUGUCUCAGUUAGGGGCAGUCCUAUGUGAGGUGUGAAUUUCCAUCGGUGAUCCUCUGAAAAUGGUUCUCAGAGAUGUGAAUCCAGGACCUCCUAUACUGGUUGCCUCUGAUCAUGAGGGAAGGAGUGGAGCAGCAUUCAGAUAAGAAUUAGUGUAGUAAGGAAUAGUAGGAAAAGGGGAAUAAAAGGCAAGUGGGUAAAUGAUUACUAAUUUUUAGAGUGGUCCUAGGAAUUAUGCUUUCGGUUGGCAUAAUGGAUGCAUGACUCUCUUUCUGGAAGGAAGAGAGUCAACUGAGUUCACUGUUUGAAUUGCUUCCCUUGGUGGGAAGUGUGUUUUAUUUAUAUGCAAUAUUAUAAAAAAAUAUUUUAGAAACACACUGUAUUAUAAACUUUAAGCUCACCUCUAAAAAUACAAGAAAAUGAAAAAAUGUGCAUGAAGUUAAGUAAGAGGAGAUCUAAUUAGCAUUCUUACAGAAUGAGCUGUAGAUUUACUUGAGACUUACUAGGGGAAAAAUACCAGAGCACCAGACUAGCACAUCAAUCAUUUGAAAUUGCCUGACAGUCUUGAAGAGGAUAUCCUGGCUGCAGAAAGCACAUAGCUGUCUUAAGGCUAGAGGCCCAGGUCAGGACAUAGUAAGAACAAAAGAUGAGCACUUUUGAGAGGAACCAGCUGGCUUAAGGUGAUCCAAAGUGCACAGAUGUUAAGGGCUCACUGUUCCAAUAAUACCAUUACCUAACACAAGAAUAACAGAAUAACCAUUAAAAAAAUUAUGAAACUUGAUUUACCAGGUUGACCCUUGAGAUCUGACAAAUGUGUUUCUUUUCCAUCAUGCUAAUUUUCUAUUUUUAUCUUAAUGUUAUUUUUAUAUGUGUAUUCUU